UACGUAGGGUGCGAGCGUUGUCCGGAAUUAUUGGGCGUAAAGGGCUCGUAGGCGGUUUGUCGCGUCGGGAGUGAAAUCUCUGGGCUUAACCGAGUGCUUGCUUUCGAUACGGGCAGACUAGAGGCAUUCAGGGGAGAACGGAAUUCCUGGUGUAGCGGUGAAAUGCGCAGAUAUCAGGAGGAACACCGGUGGCGAAGGCGGUUCUCUGGGAAUGUCCUGACGCUGAGGAGCGAAAGUGUGGGGAGCGAAC
RNAcentral lists this ribosomal RNA (250 nucleotides) under uncultured Nocardioides sp. RNAcentral describes it as "partial 16S ribosomal RNA". It matches the Rfam family "Bacterial small subunit ribosomal RNA", at positions 524 to 773 of the family's 1533-position model. The record is from RNAcentral. Lineage: Bacteria; Bacillati; Actinomycetota; Actinomycetes; Propionibacteriales; Nocardioidaceae.